Molecule: transfer RNA, 98 nt
Filed under: Hypoxylon crocopeplum
Lineage: Eukaryota; Fungi; Ascomycota; Sordariomycetes; Xylariales; Hypoxylaceae
Description: tRNA-Leu
Rfam family: tRNA
About the family: Transfer RNA (tRNA) molecules are approximately 80 nucleotides in length. Their secondary structure includes four short double-helical elements and three loops (D, anti-codon, and T loops).
Source: RNAcentral
GGUGAGAUGGCCGAGUGGUUAUGGCGCUGCGUUCAGGUAUACCUGAAUCCAAAUUCGCAGUGGAGCAAUCCGCGUGGGUUCGAGUCCCACUCUCAUCA